CGGAGCCACAAGUGGGAGCCGCUAUUAUUGGGCCUAAAGCGUCCGUAGCCGGUUAAGCAAAUCUCUUGUGAAAUUGUCGGGCUCAACCUGACAGCGUGCAUGAGACACUACUUAACUAGGGACCGGGAGGAGUCAGAGGUAUUUCGGGGGGAGCGGUAAAAUGUUAUAAUCCUCGAAGGACCACCUAUGGCGAAGGCAUCUGACCAGAACGGAUCCGACGGUGAGGGACGAAAGCCAGGGGAGCAAACCGGAUUAGAGACCCGAGUAGUCC
Molecule: ribosomal RNA, 271 nt
Filed under: uncultured archaeon
Lineage: Archaea
Description: partial 16S ribosomal RNA
Rfam family: Archaeal small subunit ribosomal RNA
Source: RNAcentral